UACAGAGGUCCCGAGCGUUGUUCGGAUUCACUGGGCGUAAAGGGCGCGUAGGCGGGCCUCCAAGUCCGGGGUGAAAGCCCCCAGCUCAACUGGGGAAGCGCCUUGGAUACUGGGGGCCUCGAGGGGGGUAGGGGCGCGCGGAACUUCCGGUGGAGCGGUGAAAUGCGUAGAUAUCGGAAGGAACAUCAGUGGCGAAAGCGACUUCCUGGACCAGUACCGACGUUCAGGCACGAAAGCGUGGGGAGCAAACAGG
RNAcentral lists this ribosomal RNA (253 nucleotides) under uncultured bacterium. Its description in RNAcentral is "partial 16S ribosomal RNA". It matches the Rfam family "Bacterial small subunit ribosomal RNA", at positions 524 to 776 of the family's 1533-position model. The record is from RNAcentral.